UGAAUCAUAGCUCAAUGGUAGAGCAGCCCACUCAUAAUGGGUAGAUCGAGGUUCAAUUCCCCGUGAUUCAA
RNAcentral lists this transfer RNA (71 nucleotides) under Candida buenavistaensis. RNAcentral's name for it is "tRNA-Met". It matches the Rfam family "tRNA". Rfam says of the family: Transfer RNA (tRNA) molecules are approximately 80 nucleotides in length. Lineage: Eukaryota; Fungi; Ascomycota; Pichiomycetes; Serinales; Debaryomycetaceae. The record is from RNAcentral.